UAUAAUGAACACGGCCGCACCACAAGUAAAGUCUGAGGAAGGACAGAAAACGCUCUGGAGGCUGGUUCAGUCACCCGUUAUCAGUAAAAAUGGUUGACCCCUAACAAUAUGUACAAAAAUACAAAAUGUAAAUAAGAAAUUCAAACUUUCCUUUUAAAGUAUGUUUAAGAAAAAUAGCAGGGCCUGGGAAGCUCUGGUUCUCUUCUCCUCCCAUGUUGCUAAUUCAUGUCGUGGUUUGGGUGGGGCGGUGGAGAGCAUAUGUUAUCUGUGGGUGGCUCUGCCCUCUGUGGGCGGGCGUGGCCUGCUUCUCUACUCGAAGAAGAUCACAUUAAAAUUCUGAGACUGGAAGUGGAGGGUGAAUAGGUCACGGUGUGUAAAGUCCUUGGUGGUGAUCUCGGAGCUGGUAUCCACUGCGGAGUCUGACAUGGUGGGGCACGCCGAUGGUCCGGUGCUGCGAAUAAGGAAUUAGUCGAGCUCGAGGACUCUGGUGAGAAAGCUACCGGAGUCCAGGUUGGAAAAGGCAGUAGGCGGCGAAGGUGGCUGCAGUGAGCGCAGAGCAAAGAUGGCUUUUCAGUGGGGACUGGCUUUUGAGUAGCCAGCGGGGGCAUAAUGGGCAUCCUUAUGUGCUCAGAGACAAGUCUCUGAAGAGAAAGCUUAUUGCCCAGAGUGAUGGGACCAGAAGGUUGUUGCAGGAGCAUGAACCUGCAAAAGAAGCCCAGAAUAUUCUCUGGCUUCCAGUAUCAGGGGCAAGGCUUGUCUGUGGCCACACCACCCUGGGCUACCCAGUCUUGUUUGAUUUCAUUCCUAAGCAAGAUCAGACCUGGUUAGCAUUUCACUGGGAGACAGAAGCUUUCGCUUCCAUGCACACUCCUAACAUCGGCCAUGCAGCCUCCUGAGUCUGCAUUGUCAACCUCCAGAACUAGGAAACAAAUAAACCUAGAUUUGGGGGGAGUUUUUAGGGGGCAGUGUUUUGCUUUGCUUUGGUAUGGUAUGGUUUGGUUUCAUUUGGUGGGUGCGUGGGUGGUUGGUUGGUUGGUCAUCGGUAGCCAUGAACAGCUGACAAGGAGCAAAACGAUGCAGUCAUCAGUAGUGGUUACAAUGUGGAUCAGGAAACUGGGGUGCGGAGCAAGGAAGCAAAUUCCCCACAUGAGGCUUCUUCCUGCCUGCGUGUCUGACUUGUUCCUAUGCUGGUCCUUAUCUGGUUCACCCCGCCCCACCCACCCGCCAUGACUGUUUCCAGUUCCCUUGUGUUCCAUGCCCUCUCCAGCCUCAGCAUCUCCGGAUUACUGAACGAAACAGAAGAACGACACUUCUUCUGUCUAGCACCAGAACCAAGGAAAUGAUCGUCAAAGUAUUUCCAUGCUGUAAUCCCCAGGACAAAGUCUAACUUCAGUUCAAUUAAAACUGACUACUAUAUCUAGGGCCAUGGGUAAGGUAUGUCUGCGAAAGAUAAAAUUAUCACCUUCAAAGUUCUAGCAGGAAAGAAGAUGAGUUUUAAAAUAGCCUAUAGUUCAGGACAGAAGAAAAAAAAUAAGUGCCGUAUGAAACCCACAAAAGGCAAAAUUAGUUUCAGAUGAUGAAGAGAUCCUACCAAGAUGAUAAUUAGCAAGCGCCUUGCAGGAGAAUGGCUGCUUGAAAUUGACUUGGAAAGAAUUGAUAGAAUUUCAAUAAUUGGAAAAGGAGAAUAAGAGAAAGGCGCUCCAAGUGGAGGGACUAGCCUCUAGAAAAGGGGCAGAGAAUGGAAACCUGGAGUACGUUUAAGGACAAAAUGACAGUUGACUGUUUGACAGGAAUGUCGAGGAAGUUUUAGAAACGCAACUCUGGAGCUGGGCAUGACAGCACACGCUUGGAUGCAAGGUAGGAGGGUCGUGAGUUCAAAGACAUCCUGAACUACAUAGUGAGUUCGAAGCCUGUAUUGUACAGUAAGACCCUGUCUCAAAAAGGUAGAGGGGGCAAUGAGGGAGGAAGGGAAAAGACAGAAAAUGGCAGGAGGGAAGAGGGGAAGGGAGGAAAGGUCCCAAAUAGAGCAAUGUGCCCAUAACUUUCGGCUAGGAAGGGUUUGGGAUUCUAAGGAUGUAGAUAUUAUUUCAUCUAAUGGCUUCCCAAAAGAAAAUUUACUUACAAAAUAUACCUCAAUCUUUUCUGGUCCACAGCUAUGGAUGGACCUCCUGUGGUUGCCCUAAUUCUAGCAUUCUCAGGCCAACGGAGGCUGAGGCCACGGCCCAUGGUCACUGUGUCAGGCGAGGCUCUGACUAAGAAAGCAAGGAAAACAAGCGGAUGUGCUUGGGCUUCAGUUUCUUUUAACUACACCAUUCCCUGUUCUUAGCCCAGGAUGCCGUCAUCCAGGACUCUGAAAACUCUUCUUUGUCACGAGCUUAGGCAGAAAGUCUCUCCAGCCGUGGGUCAGAAUAAGGAAGACCAGGUUCAAGGAGGCCAAGGCAUGAACCUAGAGUCGCCCAGCUGGUACGUACCAAAGCCAAAUCUCUCCUAAUUAAAAUUCUAUCUAACAAGCCUGCCUCUCAUAAAGAUCAAACCCUCUGAUAGUCUCACUAGCAGGUGUCUUCCAGACUUGCUGAUUGUUCACAAUGGAGCUAAUGGAUGUGCUGCCCAGACAAGUUCCAGGUUCCCCUUAAACAGGUUUUUCACAAGCUUCAAACCAAUUGAGGAGUGUGAAGAAACCAGCGAGAGACACUCCACCCAGCAGCCACUCGAACCAACAGUGGUUUCUGCAGACAGCAGUCUAAUCUCUUGGUCUGGCAAGGCUGGGCAAGAGAUCAUUUUCCAGGCUCACCUGCAAUGCUGAAAUUGGAACAUCUUUUCCCACGCAUGUCCUCAGUACUAGAAAUAGUCCCAGUUCCUGACAUAAAGCAAUCGAAGCCCUAGGGAUUCCCGCAUGAUGGUCAUGUGUGCUUUCGUUCUGCCUGGGCCCUGUGUGUUCACACCCCAGUUUAGGGUGCGAUAUGAACUCAAGCUUCGGGAAAUGCUGGGAUAGCUAGGCGGGGGAUGGGAGGCUUCAGGGGGGGAGUUUGUGGCCAGAGGGAUGGGAUUUUCCAUCCCCACUUCAGGCUCAGGGGAUGGAAUGAAGGCCAGAGACUGGGUUCAGAUCAAUCUUCUCUAUGAAGUACUACCUCCCUAAGAUCCCAAAUGAUAACAUCAGAGAGCUUCAAUCACACAGUUGACAAUCACAUGACGGUCUCAGCCAAGAGAGUCUCAGUCUCAACUCACUGGGAACAGCAGCUAUGGAGCAAGGGCCCUUCUAGGUCACACAUAUACAUUUUCUUCUGACUGUUCAUUUUUAUUCUUUACAAUAACCAAAAAUAUCAAUAAAUAAAACAUUUUCCAAAGUCUUA
Molecule: small RNA, 3350 nt
Filed under: Rattus norvegicus (Norway rat)
Lineage: Eukaryota; Metazoa; Chordata; Mammalia; Rodentia; Muridae
Description: uncharacterized LOC102552083
Source: RNAcentral